This 71-nucleotide transfer RNA is filed under the name Rhabdopleura sp. NHMO H2137. Its description in RNAcentral is "tRNA-Leu". It matches the Rfam family "tRNA". Rfam says of the family: Transfer RNA (tRNA) molecules are approximately 80 nucleotides in length. Lineage: Eukaryota; Metazoa; Hemichordata; Pterobranchia; Rhabdopleurida; Rhabdopleuridae. The record is from RNAcentral.
AUCGUGAAAGCAUAAUGUUUGUGCACAAGGCCUAAAAUCUUGUUGUAGAGGUUGAAUUCCUUUUCAUGGUA